AGAGUUUGAUCAUGGCUCAGAACGAACGCUGGCGGCGCGCCUAAUACAUGCAAGUCGAACGAGAAUGUGUAGCAAUACACAUGUACAGUGGCGAACGGGUGAGGAAUACAUGGGUAACCUACCCUCGAGUGGGGAAUAACUAGCCGAAAGGUUAGCUAAUACCGCGUACGCUUCCCGGACUGCGGUUCGGGAAGGAAAGCGAUACCGUGGGUAUCGCGCUCUUGGAUGGGCUCAUGCCCUAUCAGCUUGUUGGUGAGGUAACGGCUCACCAAGGCUUCGACGGGUAGCUGAUCUGAGAGGAUGAUCAGCCACACUGGCACUGCGACACGGGCCAGACUCCUACGGGAGGCAGCAGUAAGGAAUAUUGCGCAAUGGGCGAAAGCCUGACGCAGCGACGCCGCGUGGGGGAUGAAGGUCUUCGGAUUGUAAACCCCUUUCGGGAGGGAAGAUGGGAUGGGGUAACCCAUUCGGACGGUACCUCCAGAAGCAGCCACGGCUAACUUCGUGCCAGCAGCCGCGGUAAUAC
This 526-nucleotide ribosomal RNA is filed under the name uncultured bacterium. RNAcentral's name for it is "bacterial SSU rRNA". It matches the Rfam family "Bacterial small subunit ribosomal RNA", at positions 8 to 526 of the family's 1533-position model. The record is from RNAcentral.